UUCCCAAGUAAUAGUGCCUCAAGAAUUCAGGACACUAAUUAAUAUGUACCAAUAACUGAGGUAAGUAUUUUACCUAACUCACUCUCUGCUUAUUAUUUGGGACAUCAACCCUCUUUCAAAUGAAGUAUGGACCUCUUCUAACUGAUAUAGUCUACCUUUAAUUUUUUUCAUGAUUUUAAAAAUGAGAAUAUUCUACAAUUUGGAUACCUUAUCAUUUUUUAGAACAUAUACAAGUUAUUAGAAAAUGUUUGGUGCAAAAGAGAAAAACCAACAGCUGGGAACGGGCCCAGCACUUAGAGCUGGGCCUUGACGUUCUAUUGAACAUAAACCAUUUCACAUAAAACCAUCAGAUAAGGCAAUUGUGCCUAUGAUAGAUCCAAACAAAAAAAGACUACUUCACAAUCAAAUCUGGACUUGGACAAAAGACAGAACAUCAUUGGAACUGCAAAAAUGACCAAAGAUCCCCUUAUGAUGGCCAAUACAAGUGACUUUUUUUAAAAAAAUUAUAGCCUCAGGCUUGUUUUAUUCUACUUACUGGCUUUUUAUAUGAGAUCUAUUAAAAUACUCAAUACUCUGCCAUAGUUUAAAGGAUAGCUCAUGUGGUGGUCAAUACAUCAAACUGUUUUGUUAGCUUUCAUUCAAACCACCCAAAAGCCACUGGGCAUAUGAAAUGCACAGUUGAAAACAAGUGCCUAAUAGUUUGAUAUUUUUUUCCCCUCAUAGGUUUCCUUUAGGAACGUCUCAUAACUAUUUAUUGUGUCCACAACGAUUACAAGGCCUCUUAGAUCAGGUAUGUCUAUGAAAGUAUGGGCCCAGCAUGCUUCUGCUGCGCAACUCAGCUGUCUCCUAAAAAGGAUUUAAAAUCAACAGAGCAAAAACAAGGAGCCAGCAGAUGAAUGCUUUCCUAGUUACCUUUGGCAGCAAGCUUCCUCACAUUCCCUGACUGCUCAAUGGAUUGUAAAGCAACGUACAGCACAAUUAAAUACAAAGCCAGAUCUGUACAUAAAACUGCCUGCUGUUUAUCUGGAUGCUCCACAACAUGCAAAUUGCUAUAUCCACAACUGAAGUCAUCAUCUUCCUUAUCCCCCUCCACAGUCCACUGCCUUGUCCUGGACCCCUUUAUCCCCAGACCACCACCAUCCAUCACCCAGUUCCUUAAAGUGAAAGCAGAAACCAUCCUGGAUUUUCCUUUGUACUCCACAUUUAAUAGAUUAUCAGAUCCUGACACUCCUAUUCUUUCAUCUUGAAUUCCUCUUUCUCCUCAUGCCCUCUGCCACUGUCUUGCCUCCAACU
Long non-coding RNA from Propithecus coquereli (Coquerel's sifaka), 1293 nucleotides. RefSeq lists it as uncharacterized. The record is from RefSeq and is a predicted model, not a curated record. The transcript is spliced from 4 exons. NCBI's taxonomy places the organism in Eukaryota, Metazoa, Chordata, Mammalia, Primates, Indriidae.